This 492-nucleotide ribosomal RNA is filed under the name uncultured bacterium. RNAcentral's name for it is "partial 16S ribosomal RNA". It matches the Rfam family "Bacterial small subunit ribosomal RNA", at positions 29 to 507 of the family's 1533-position model. The record is from RNAcentral.
AGUGAACGCUGGCGGUAGGCCUAACACAUGCAAGUCGAACGGCAGCACAGUAAGAGCUUGCUCUUACGGGUGGCGAGUGGCGGACGGGUGAGGAAUACAUCGGAAUCUACUUUUUCGUGGGGGAUAACGUAGGGAAACUUACGCUAAUACCGCAUACGACCUACGGGUGAAAGCAGGGGAUCUUCGGACCUUGCGCGAUUGAAUGAGCCGAUGUCGGAUUAGCUAGUUGGCGGGGUAAAGGCCCACCAAGGCGACGAUCCGUAGCUGGUCUGAGAGGAUGAUCAGCCACACUGGAACUGAGACACGGUCCAGACUCCUACGGGAGGCAGCAGUGGGGAAUAUUGGACAAUGGGCGCAAGCCUGAUCCAGCCAUACCGCGUGGGUGAAGAAGGCCUUCGGGUUGUAAAGCCCUUUUGUUGGGAAAGAAAAGCAGCAGGUUAAUACCCCGCUGUUCUGGCGGUACCCAAAGAAUAAGCACCGGCUAACUUCGCG